GACAGAGGGUGCAAACGUUGUUCGGAAUUACUGGGCGUAAAGCGUGUGUAGGCGGUCUCAUAAGUCGGAUGUGAAAGCCCCGGGCUCAACCCGGGAAGUGCAUUCGAAACUGCGAGGCUAGAGUAUCGGAGAGGUUGGUGGAAUUCUCGGUGUAGAGGUGAAAUUCGUAGAUAUCGAGAGGAACACCAGUGGCGAAGGCGGCUCACUGGACCGGUACUGACGCUGAUGCGCGAAAGCGUGGGGAGCAAACGGG
This 253-nucleotide ribosomal RNA is filed under the name uncultured bacterium. Its description in RNAcentral is "partial 16S ribosomal RNA". It matches the Rfam family "Bacterial small subunit ribosomal RNA", at positions 524 to 776 of the family's 1533-position model. The record is from RNAcentral.